This 497-nucleotide ribosomal RNA is filed under the name uncultured bacterium. RNAcentral describes it as "partial 16S ribosomal RNA". It matches the Rfam family "Bacterial small subunit ribosomal RNA", at positions 28 to 507 of the family's 1533-position model. The record is from RNAcentral.
GAUGAACGCUGGCGGCGUGCCUAAUACAUGCAAGUCGAGCGAACGGACGAGAAGCUUGCUUCUCUGAUGUUAGCGGCGGACGGGUGAGUAACACGUGGAUAACCUACCUAUAAGACUGGGAUAACUUCGGGAAACCGGAGCUAAUACCGGAUAAUAUUUUGAACCGCAUGGUUCAAAAGUGAAAGACGGUCUUGCUGUCACUUAUAGAUGGAUCCGCGCUGCAUUAGCUAGUUGGUAAGGUAACGGCUUACCAAGGCAACGAUGCAUAGCCGACCUGAGAGGGUGAUCGGCCACACUGGAACUGAGACACGGUCCAGACUCCUAAGGGAGGCAGCAGUAGGGAAUCUUCCGGAAUGGGCGAAAGCCUGACGGAGCAAAGCCGCGUGAGUGAUGAAGGGCUUCGGAUCGUAAAACUCUGUUAUUAGGGAAGAACAUAUGUGUAAGUAACUGUGCACAUCUUGACGGGACCUAAUCAGAAAGCCACGGCUAACUACGUG